RNAcentral lists this ribosomal RNA (1058 nucleotides) under Staphylococcus aureus. RNAcentral describes it as "partial 23S ribosomal RNA". It matches the Rfam family "Bacterial large subunit ribosomal RNA", at positions 395 to 1461 of the family's 2925-position model. The record is from RNAcentral. Lineage: Bacteria; Bacillati; Bacillota; Bacilli; Caryophanales; Staphylococcaceae.
UCUUGAGUGGAUCCUGAGUACGACGGAGCACGUGAAAUUCCGUCGGAAUCUGGGAGGACCAUCUCCUAAGGCUAAAUACUCUCUAGUGACCGAUAGUGAACCAGUACCGUGAGGGAAAGGUGAAAAGCACCCCGGAAGGGGAGUGAAAUAGAACCUGAAACCGUGUGCUUACAAGUAGUCAGAGCCCGUUAAUGGGUGAUGGCGUGCCUUUUGUAGAAUGAACCGGCGAGUUACGAUUUGAUGCAAGGUUAAGCAGUAAAUGUGGAGCCGUAGCGAAAGCGAGUCUGAAUAGGGCGUUUAGUAUUUGGUCGUAGACCCGAAACCAGGUGAUCUACCCUUGGUCAGGUUGAAGUUCAGGUAACACUGAAUGGAGGACCGAACCGACUUACGUUGAAAAGUGAGCGGAUGAACUGAGGGUAGCGGAGAAAUUCCAAUCGAACCUGGAGAUAGCUGGUUCUCUCCGAAAUAGCUUUAGGGCUAGCCUCAAGUGAUGAUUAUUGGAGGUAGAGCACUGUUUGGACGAGGGGCCCCUCUCGGGUUACCGAAUUCAGACAAACUCCGAAUGCCAAUUAAUUUAACUUGGGAGUCAGAACAUGGGUGAUAAGGUCCGUGUUCGAAAGGGAAACAGCCCAGACCACCAGCUAAGGUCCCAAAAUAUAUGUUAAGUGGAAAAGGAUGUGGCGUUGCCCAGACAACUAGGAUGUUGGCUUAGAAGCAGCCAUCAUUUAAAGAGUGCGUAAUAGCUCACUAGUCGAGUGACACUGCGCCGAAAAUGUACCGGGGCUAAACAUAUUACCGAAGCUGUGGAUUGUCCUUUGGACAAUGGUAGGAGAGCGUUCUAAGGGCGUUGAAGCAUGAUCGUAAGGACAUGUGGAGCGCUUAGAAGUGAGAAUGCCGGUGUGAGUAGCGAAAGACGGGUGAGAAUCCCGUCCACCGAUUGACUAAGGUUUCCAGAGGAAGGCUCGUCCGCUCUGGGUUAGUCGGGUCCUAAGCUGAGGCCGACAGGCGUAGGCGAUGGAUAACAGGUUGAUAUUCCUGUACCACCUAUAAUCGUUUUA